This 688-nucleotide long non-coding RNA is filed under the name Fukomys damarensis (Damara mole-rat). RNAcentral's name for it is "lncRNA (ENSFDAG00000027134.1)". Lineage: Eukaryota; Metazoa; Chordata; Mammalia; Rodentia; Bathyergidae. The record is from RNAcentral.
GUCCGCGCGCCCGGGUCGCGCCCUCGGUCCUCUCUGAUCCCCAGGUGGUGCGCGCGGCAUCCCCUGGAAUUGAGGGCCGUGCUGAGGGCGCCAGCGGCCGGGGUGCCUUCUACAUUCCCGCUCUUCCCUCCCACAAAGCCUGCGCCAAGUAAUUUUAGAAGCGGCUGCUGUGACCUCAGGGCCUUUCUCUCCGGCUUGACGCCCUCAGGGGUCUCGGUUUCUCCGGUUGCCGCCUUUCCGGAGAGGGAAAUUUAUGUUCUGAGCGUGACUACUUUAAAGGGAGCAGCGUUUUCUCCUUGGUUUGGCCCUGGAUGUCCCCUCGCAUGGAUCUAGGUCGUCCUAUCAAAAUUCUGCUUGAUUUCCUGCUAGAAGAAUUGAAGAUAGCACUUCCUGAUUGGUCCCAGAUGCAGGGCUUGGGAAGUGAUUUUCUGCACAUGCAUCCUGGAUCUCCCUGAUCGCCGGAGUACUCCCACUUUCCCAGAUUGCUGGCCAUGCCCUAACCUCCGGCCUCAAAAGUGCUGGGGUUCUUGUCUUCCUGGAUACUAUGAUGUUGGACAGCUUCCUUCCAGCUGGCCCAUCCAUCAUGCCAUUUGAAACUUUUGAUCUUUUGGAUCCUUCACACCUUGCGUGAGGAAGCCCAUGCUGCCUUGUGGGGAGGACAUUAUGGAUGUGACCAGCUUGCAGCCAC